This 149-nucleotide ribosomal RNA is filed under the name uncultured eukaryote. RNAcentral describes it as "partial small subunit ribosomal RNA". It matches the Rfam family "Eukaryotic small subunit ribosomal RNA", at positions 1662 to 1828 of the family's 1831-position model. The record is from RNAcentral.
GUACACACCGCCCGUCACUUCUACCGAUUCGAGUGGUUCGACAUGACUAGGAUUGACGACUUUGUUGUUAAGAAUUUUUGUAAGUCAUAUCACUUAGAGGAAGGAAAAGGCGUAACAAGGUUUCCGUAGGUGAACCUGCAGAAGGAUCA